AGUCUCAAAUGGGCGUCAAGUCAGUACAGGCAGACCCGAAACCGGGUGACCUAUCCAUGUCCAGGUUGAAGCGGAAGUAAAAUUCCGUGGAGGACCGGAUCCACAUCCGUUGAAAAGGGUGGGAAUGAGGUGUGGAUAGGGGAGAAAUUCCAAUCGAACCCGGAGAUAGCUGGUUCUCCUCGAAAUAGCUUUAGGGCUAGCCUCAUAUUAGUUUAGCGGAGGUAGAGCACUGAAUUCCUAAGGGGGCGUCAAAGCUUACCAAGGGAUAUCAAACUCCGAAUGCCGCAUAAAUGAUGUAUGGGAGUCAGACUGCACGAGAUAAGUUGGGUAGUCAAAAGGGAAAGAGCCCAGACCUACAGCUAAGGUCCCAAAGUGUGUGUUAAGUGGAAAAGGAUGUGGGAUUUCAAAGACAACUAGGAUGUUGGCUCAGAAGCAGCCACACAUUCAAAGAGUGCGUAAUAGCUCACUAGUCGAGAGGUCCUGCGCCGAAAAUGUCCGGGGCUGAAACACAACACCGAAGCUUAGGAAUGUCGUAAGACAUUGGUAGAGGAGCAUUCUCAGGACGGAGAAGCGGUACCGGUAAGGAGCCGUGGAGUGCUGAGAAGAGAGAAUGCCGGAAUGAGUAGCGAGAUGGAGGUGGGAAUCCUCCAGGCCGAAUAUCCAAGGUUUCCAGAGUAAAGCUGAUCUGCUCUGGGUAAGUCGGGGCCUAAGGCGAGGCUGAGAGGCGUAGUCGAUGGACAACAGGUUGAAAUUCCUGUACCGUGUAUCAUCAGAACUGUGGGGACACAGAAGGACAGCACAUCCCGGGAAUGGGAAUACCGGGGCAAGCGUGGUAGGAGUACGGCUGGCAAAACCGCCGUGCAAUCCGAAUACGUGACGCGGAGCGAACAAAAGUAGCGAAGUGUGUGAUUCCGGCUGUCAAGAAAAGCCGCUAUUGUGUGAUACAUGCCCGUACCGUAAACCGACACAGGUAGAUGAGGAGAGAAUCCUAAGGCCGGCGGGAGAAGCAUUGUUAAGGAACUCGGCAAAAUGACCCCGUAACUUCGGGAGAAGGGGUGCCGCAGAGAUGUGGCCGCAGAGAAUAGGCUCAAGCAACUGUUUAGCAAAAACACAGGUCUAUGCAAAACCGUAAGGUGAGGUAUAUGGGCUGACGCCUGCCCGGUGCUGGAAGGUUAAGAGGAGAGGUUAGCGCAAGCGAAGCUUUGAAUUUAAGCCCCAGUAAACGGCGGCCGUAACUAUAACGGUCCUAAGGUAGCGAAAUUCCUUGUCGGGUAAGUUCCGACCCGCACGAAAGGCGUAAUGAUUUGAGCGCUGUCUCAACAAUGCACCCGGUGAAAUUGAAAUACCAGUGAAGAUGCUGGUUACCUGCGCCAGGACGGAAAGACCCCAUGGAGCUUUACUCCAGUUUGAUACUGGGAUUCGGUAUUGCAUGUACAGGAUAGGUGGGAGGCUGAGAAGCAUGGACGCCAGUCUGUGUGGAGCCAAUGUUGGGAUACCACCCUUGCGAUAUUGGGUUUCUAACCUGCGCCCGUGAGCCGGGCGGGGGACAAUGUCAGGCGGGGAGUUUGACUGGGGCGGUCGCCUCCGAAAGGGUAUCGGAGGCGCUCAAAGGUUCCCUCAGGAUGGUUGGAAACCAUCCAGAGAGUGCAAAGGCAUAAGGGAGCUUGACUGCGAGACCGACGGGUCGGGCAGGUACGAAAGUAGGACUUAGUGAUCCGGUGGUAUGAAAGUGGGAUUGCCAUCGCUCAACGGAUAAAAGCUACCCUGGGGAUAACAGGCUUAUCACUCCCAAGAGUUCACAUCGACGGAGUGGUUUGGCACCUCGAUGUCGGCUCAUCGCAUCCUGGGGCUGUAGCAGGUCCCAAGGGUUGGGCUGUUCGCCCAUUAAAGCGGUACGCGAGCUGGGUUCAGAACGUCGUGAGACAGUUCGGUCCCUAUCCGGCGCGGGCGCAGGAUAUCUGAGAGGAGCUGUCCUUAGUACGAGAGGACCGGGAUGGACAGACCGCUGGUGUACCUGUUGGCCUACCAAGGCCAUGGCAGGGUAGCCAAGUCUGGACGGGAUAAACGCUGAAGGCAUCUAAGCGUGAAGCCCCCCUCAAGAUGAGAUAUCCCAUCGCGAAAGCGAGUAAGACCCCUUGAAGACGACGAGGUAGAUAGGUUAGAGGUGGAAGUGCAGUAAUGUACG
This 2185-nucleotide ribosomal RNA is filed under the name metagenome. Its description in RNAcentral is "bacterial LSU rRNA". It matches the Rfam family "Bacterial large subunit ribosomal RNA", at positions 680 to 2887 of the family's 2925-position model. The record is from RNAcentral.